GAUCGAGUUUGUAUCCUGGCUCAGAUUGAACGCUGGCGGAAUGCUUUACACGUGCAAGUCGAACGGUAGAGGGGGCAACCCCUUGAGAGUGGCGAACGGGUGAGUAAUAUAUCGGAACGUGCCCAGUCGUGGGGGAUAACGUAGCGAAAGUUACGCUAAUACCGGCAUACGAUCUAAGGAUGAAAGCGGGGAUCGCAAGACCUCGCGCGAUUGGAGCGGCCGAUAUCAGA
This 230-nucleotide ribosomal RNA is filed under the name uncultured Limnohabitans sp. RNAcentral describes it as "partial 16S ribosomal RNA". It matches the Rfam family "Bacterial small subunit ribosomal RNA", at positions 1 to 240 of the family's 1533-position model. Lineage: Bacteria; Pseudomonadati; Pseudomonadota; Betaproteobacteria; Burkholderiales; Comamonadaceae. The record is from RNAcentral.